CUGCUAUCGGAUUGAUACUAAGCCAUGCGAGUCAUUGUAGCAAUACAAGGCAGACGGCUCAGUAACGCGUAGUCAACCUACCCUAUGGACGGGAAUAACCUCGGGAAACUGAGUAUAAUGCCCGAUAGAACAUUAUGCCUGGAAUGGUUUAUGUUCCAAAUGAUUUAUCGCCGUAGGAUGGGACUGCGGCCUAUCAGUUUGUUGGUGAGGUAAUGGCCACCAAGACUAUUACAGGUACGGGCUCUGAGAGGAGCAGCCCGGAGAUGGGUACUGAGACACGGACCCAGGCCCUAUGGGGCGCAGCAGGCGAGAAAACUUUGCAAUGUGCGAAAGCACGACAAGGUUAAUCCGAGUGGUUUCUGCUAAAGGAACCUUUUGUUAGUCCUAAAAACACUAACGAAUAAGGGGUGGGCAAGUUCUGGUGUCAGCCGCCGCGGUAAACCCAGCACCUCAAGUGGUCAGGAUGAUUAUUGGGCCUAAAGCAUCCGUAGCCUGCUCUGUAAGUUUUCGGUUAAAUCUGUAUGCUCAACAUACAGGCCGCCGGGAAUACUGCAGGGCUAGGGAGUGGGAGAGGUAGACGGUACUCGGGAGGAAGUGGUAAAAUGCUUUGAUCUCUCGAUGACCACCUGUGGCGAAGGCGGUCUACCAGAACACGUCCGACGGUGAGGGAUGAAAGCUGGGGGAGCAAACCGGAUUAGAUACCCGGGUAGUCCCAGCUGUAAACGAUGCAGACUCGAUGAUGCAUUGGCAUAAUAGCCAGUGCAGUGUCGCAGGGAAGCCGUUAAGUCUGCCGCCUGGGAAGUACGUACGCAAGUAUGAAACUUAAAGGAAUUGGCGGGGGAGCACCACAAGGGGUGAAGCCUGCGGUUCAAU
Molecule: ribosomal RNA, 873 nt
Filed under: uncultured marine group I thaumarchaeote
Lineage: Archaea; Thermoproteati; Nitrososphaerota
Description: SSU rRNA
Rfam family: Archaeal small subunit ribosomal RNA
Source: RNAcentral